This 466-nucleotide ribosomal RNA is filed under the name uncultured bacterium. RNAcentral describes it as "bacterial SSU rRNA". It matches the Rfam family "Bacterial small subunit ribosomal RNA", at positions 328 to 792 of the family's 1533-position model. The record is from RNAcentral.
GCGCCAGACUCCUACGGGAGGCAGCAGUGAGGAAUAUUGGUCAAUGGUCGGGAGACUGAACCAGCCAAGCCGCGUGAGGGAUGAAGGUACAGAGUAUCGUAAACCUCUUUUGUCAGGGAACAAAGGCGGGGACGUGUCCCCGGAUGAGUGUACCUGAAGAAAAAGCAUCGGCUAACUCCGUGCCAGCAGCCGCGGUAAUACGGAGGAUGCGAGCGUUAUCCGGAUUUAUUGGGUUUAAAGGGUGCGUAGGCGGAAUAUCAAGUCAGCGGUAAAAAUUCGGGGCUCAACCCCGUCGUGCCGUUGAAACUGAUGUUCUUGAGUGGGCGAGAAGUAUGCGGAAUGCGUGGUGUAGCGGUGAAAUGCAUAGAUAUCACGCAGAACUCCGAUUGCGAAGGCAGCAUACGGCAGCGCUACUGACGCUGAAGCUCGAAGGCGCGGGUAUCGAACAGGAUUAGAUACCCGAGUA